This 497-nucleotide ribosomal RNA is filed under the name uncultured bacterium. RNAcentral describes it as "partial 16S ribosomal RNA". It matches the Rfam family "Bacterial small subunit ribosomal RNA", at positions 28 to 507 of the family's 1533-position model. The record is from RNAcentral.
GAUGAACGCUGGCGGCGUGCCUAAUACAUGCAAGUCGAGCGAACGGACGAGAAUCUUGCUUCUCUGAUGUUAGCGGCGGACGGGUGAGUAACACGUGGAUAACCUACCUAUAAGACUUGGAUAACUUCGGGAAACCGGAGCUAAUACCGGAUAAUAUUUUUAAUCGCAUGGUUCAAAAGUUAAAUACGUUCUUGCUGUCACUUAUAGCUGGAUCCGCGCUGCAUUAGCUAGUUGGUAAGGUAACGGCUUACCAAGGCAACGAUGCAUAGCCGACGUGAGAGGGGGAUAGGCCACACUGGAAGUGGGACACGAUAAAGACGCAUACGGGAGGCAGAAGUAGGGAAUCUGCCGCAAUGGGCGAAAGCAUGAAGGAGCAACGCCGCGUGAGUGAUGAAGGUCUUCGGAGCGUAAAACUCUGUUAUUAGGGAAGAACAUAUGUGUAAGUAACUGUGCACAUCGUGACGGUACCUAAUCAGAAAGCAACGGCUAACUACGUG